This 299-nucleotide unclassified non-coding RNA is filed under the name uncultured fungus. RNAcentral's name for it is "partial contains small subunit ribosomal RNA, internal transcribed spacer 1, and 5.8S ribosomal RNA". The stretch from base 1 to 73 matches the Rfam family "Eukaryotic small subunit ribosomal RNA", at positions 1759 to 1831 of the family's 1831-position model. The record is from RNAcentral. Lineage: Eukaryota; Fungi.
GCAAACUUGGUCAUUUAGAGGAAGUAAAAGUCGUAACAAGGUUUCCGUAGGUGAACCUGCGGAAGGAUCAUUAUCGAGUGUGGGUUCGUUUGAGCCCUAUCUCCCACCCGUGUUUACCGUGACCCUGUUGCUUUGGCGGGCCCACUGGGACCCCGGUCGCCGGGGGGCUGCUGCCCCCGGGCCUGCGCCCGCCGAAGCGCCUGUGAACCCUGCAUGAAUAGUGAGUCUGAGUGAGAGAUUGAAUCAUGAAAACUUUCAACAACGGAUCUCUUGGUUCCGGCAUCGAUGAAGAACGCAGC